UCUGAAAAAGAAUAAAAAAGGAUGAUAAAUAUAAUAAUUUAAAGAUUUAUUGCCAGACUUAAAAUACCAAUUGAAAAUGUAUUGCCGUGUCUAUAUACAUUUAAUACAAAUCUAAAAAAUGUAUAACAAACUGUAUUGACAUUGGUGUUGUAUAGCUUAAACUUAUAUGGAAUAAACUACAGCUGAAUUUGUUUAUAGAGUAAUAAUCUGCAUCAUCUUACAAGAAAAUGCUGCUUUGCAGACUAUAUAAGUUGAAUACAAUCCUUCAGAAGCACACUUGAUCUGACCAAGUUGUAGCUCUACAAUGAAAGCAAUAUUCGCACUCUUUUUGAUAGUCGCCAUCAUGGGAAUGGCUAUGGCUGGAGUUCACCAUUAUAAAGUUCAAGGUGGUGGAGGUCAUGGUAAGCCUUUUAAAUACUUUUUUAAUAUUUUUUUAAAUAUAUAUAUAAUUAGUUACUAUACUAAGUCUUUGAAGACAAAAUUUAAUUCUUAUGUAAAUAUCUCAGAAUAAAUAUAUUCAAUUUCUUUAAGAAAAUGAGUUUCUAUGCAAAUUUUAUGGUUUUAUUUUUCUUUAAAAAUUUAAAAAUCACAAAAUUACAAAUAAGUUAAAGAAUUCAUUAUGGCAAAAUAAAAUGAAUUAAUGUCGAAUGGCAGUUUGUUGUCACAAUAUAUUUUUUUAUUCGAAGCAUAUUUUAUUAAAGGAUAUAGGUAGAACAUUUUACUAUUAAAUUCAUUCCCUCAAAAAUGUAUUUUUGAAAUUUGAUCUUACUCCCUUAAAUAACAAUUGUGAAUGCUAAUCACAGACAUCCACUACACAAAUAAAACGGAGUCUUUACUGCCAAAGAAAAGACUUUAAGCAUCUCUAUAUUAGCAAAUUUCAACAUUUAAAGUGACACAAUAUUAAAGCAUGUAAUACGAAAUCAUAAAUAUGGAAAUCCUAGAACUAUUCCAAUGCAAUUUAUGUUAUAGCAAAAGAUAAGAAGUCAGUCUAUGAAAUUUAAUAAAAUAUUUUAAAUAAUAAAAUUAUAUACCGAAACAUGAAUAACGUAAUAUUAUGAUAUCGCAUUAUGUUAAUUUCCUGCUUACUAUGUAUAUUAGUUGAAUGAUUUCUUGUUGAUAUGACAAAAUAGAGCAAAUUCAAAGUUCUAUAGAGUAUAUUGGGAGUUUUUAUAACUUUAUUAUUUGCUAAAUCUCCUGUUGUGUCAUUUUUUUAUUAUUUAGAUAAAACAUUUCUUCGGUUAUAAUGACAAAUCAAUAAUUUUUACAUUAUAGAGAAAUGAAGUCUCAUGAACGGGGCUAGUUACGAAACAAAAUUAUUAUCUAUAAAUUAAAUUUAGGCGAAAUAUUUAUUUAGAUUUUUACAGCUAAAACUAUAGAACAAAUGAUUUCUAAUUUUUCAAAAAAAAGUAUUAGUUUAUUAUCGGUCUUACUCUAAUAAUGAUUGUUGAAUGUUCUUAUCGAAGAAGUGAACGAAUCAAUGAAUUAAGAACAUUGUUUUCAUGUAUUUUAAAGUUUUAAAUCAGAAUUUUUUAAAAAUUAAUCUCAUAUAAAAUAAUACAGUUUACAGCUCAGAUAAUUUUAAAAUUCUUCUAAUUAAAAUUCAUAAAUAACAAUUAAUAUUUCUUUAAUUAUUUAACAGCUCAUGGUGAGUGCAUUCAUUAUUCUAUAUAAUUCUCCUUAUUUCAAAUGAAUAAUCGUAUUUGAAAUAAUUUAAAAUAUUGAAUAUUUAAAUUUAAAAUAAUAUGGAUGGAUGGAUGGAUGGAUAUUGGAUUUUUAUGGCGCAAGAGCCAAAACUGGCUAUGCUGCGCCAAAACAAGUGGUAUGUGUAUAUUACCAUAUGAUUGUUAAACAAAACAUUUCCUCAAGGUUAAAAUACAAACAACGUUUUACACUUAUAAAAAGAAAGCGUAAUAAGUUUAAAGGACAGAGAUCUUAAAAUUCAGACUCCAAUUAUGGAAAAAAUUCCAAGAAAAUGUUUAAAAUCCCAAUAGUUUUCAUAUAAAAUGGAAAAAAUUUAUUGCCCUUAAAAAUUUAAAGAUAUUCCUGUGAGGGUGUUCUCCCACCAAUUCAUGCAUUUCCAAUGUUAAUGAAUUAAAAAACCGCACACGAUGAGAAUUAAAUUUAGGACACUGAAUUAAAAUGUGUAAAACUGUAAGAUUAACAUUGCAGUCUGAGCACAUCGGUGGACGCUGACCAAACAAAAGAUGUUUGUGCGUAAGGCGGGUGUGACCAAUGCGUAGUCUGGUUAAUUUGACAUCUGCCCCUCUAACCGAGACAGCAGGCCAUAAGUUAAUAGUCGGUUUAAUAAAAUGCAAUUUAUUUUGCAUUUCUCUAUCCCAGGAUUCUUGCCAAACAGAAAGUAUGUAUUUGUCAUAUGUGGCAAACAGAUCGGAAUGAGUGCAUGGUCGUGAAAGACUAUGUAGAGCCGCUCUCGCAGCGCAAUCAGCCUUUUCACUGCCAACUAUACCUACAUGACUAAAAUAAUAUGAACAUCAAAAAUUAGAAAUUAAUUCAUUCAUGAAUUGAAAAGAGAAAUUAAUUCAUUAUGAAAUAGAAUUAUGAUUAAUACUUUAUAAUAAUUUCGACUUUAUAUAUUUUAAAAUAAAUACUGCAUCAACAAUUUUAUAUAUCUUAUCAACUUAUCAUACUUAUAACUUUAUCAAAAUUUUAACCAAGGUAUUUAGAAUUUCAGAACGAAUUUAAAUGGAAAUAUAAUCUCUUCAAUACGAAAAUGUAUAAUUAUUUUCAAUUUCUUUAUUCCAGAGCAAGACAUAAUUUAAUUCCAAAUAUGAAUACUUGUUUUAACCACAUAAUAGUGAUUAAUUGACAAACAAGAUCACCAGAUAUAUCAUGUUAGCCUAUUGACUAUGCUUGCAAAUGACAUGUGGUUAAUCUCAAAGUUCGCUAAUAGCAUACAAUUGAUUCACAAGUGCAUACAGGCAUACAAUUGAUUCACAAAUAUUUUUCAAAAAACUGACAAUAAAUUUCAUUUUACUUCAUUUAAUUGUUAUAAUUAAAAUAUGCAAACGAUAAAAAAUAAAAUCUUAAUUUCAAUAUUAAUUAAAAAAAGCAGACGAUAUUUCCAACCAAUAUAAAAUAAUCAGACCAAUCACCAAUAAACAAGUGAUUGAUUCAUAGUUCCUAUCGUAAAACGUUAUUGAUUGCAUUUUAUUAAAAAAAAAGAAGAAUUACAAUUCAUAUUCUUUAUCUUCAAACAUACUUAAAAUGCAGAGAUAAACCUUUAGACCUUGUAGAGAAGCUUUUGCCACUUCUUUACAGAAGUGAAAGAAGAAACACUUUGGUUUACUUCUUUCAAAUAUUUUCAGCAUUAUAAACAUAGCAGUAAGCCUAGAUUUUUAUAUGAUUACUUUAAUAUUAUCUAUUUUACAAUAAAUACUGGGUCAAGAGAUAGGAAUAACAGUCAAUAAUUCGAUAGAAUAAAACGAUAAAACAAAUGAUUUCAAACUUUUCAAAAAAAUACUAAUUUAUUAUCAGCCUUUCUCAAAUAAUGAUUGUUGAAUAUUCUUAUCGAGGAAGUGAACGAAUCAAUAAAUAAAGAUUGUUUUUAAGUAUUUUAAGUUUCAAAUAGGAAUAUUUUUUUAAUUUAAAAUCAUAUAAAAUGAUUGAGUUUACAGCUCAGAUAUUUUAAAAUUCUUCCAAUUAAAAUUCAUAAAUAAUAAUUUAUAUUUCUUUAAUUCUUUAGCUGCUCCUG
Molecule: long non-coding RNA, 3712 nt
Organism: Argiope bruennichi
Lineage: Eukaryota; Metazoa; Arthropoda; Arachnida; Araneae; Araneidae
Exons: 3
Source: RefSeq, a predicted model, not a curated record